RNAcentral lists this ribosomal RNA (446 nucleotides) under uncultured bacterium. RNAcentral's name for it is "partial 16S ribosomal RNA". It matches the Rfam family "Bacterial small subunit ribosomal RNA", at positions 338 to 795 of the family's 1533-position model. The record is from RNAcentral.
CCUACGGGUGGCAGCAAUCGAGAAUCAUUCACAAUGGGGGAAACCCUGAUGGUGCGACGCCGCGUGGGGGAAUGAAGGUCUUCGGAUUGUAAACCCCUGUCAUGUGGGAGCAAAUUAAAAAGAUAGUACCACAAGAGGAAGAGACGGCUAACUCUGUGCCAGCAGCCGCGGUAAUACAGAGGUCUCAAGCGUUGUUCGGAAUCACUGGGCGUAAAGCGUGCGUAGGCUGUUUCGUAAGUCGUGUGUGAAAGGUGCGGGCUCAACCCGCGGACGGCACAUGAUACUGCGAGACUAGAGUAAUGGAGGGGGAACCGGAAUUCUCGGUGUAGCAGUGAAAUGCGUAGAUAUCGAGAGGAACACUCGUGGCGAAGGCGGGUUCCUGGACAUUAACUGACGCUGAGGCACGAAGGCCAGGGGAGCGAAAGGGAUUAGAUACCCGGGUAGUC